AUUGAACGCUGGCGGCAUGCCUUACACAUGCAAGUCGAACGGCAGCACGGGAGCAAUCCUGGUGGCGAGUGGCGAACGGGUGAGUAAUAUAUCGGAACGUGCCCAGUCGUGGGGGAUAACGUAGCGAAAGCUACGCUAAUACCGCAUACGAUCUAUGGAUGAAAGCGGGGGAUCGCAAGACCUCGCGCGAUUGGAGCGGCCGAUAUCAGAUUAGGUAGUUGGUGAGGUAAAGGCUCACCAAGCCGACGAUCUGUAGCUGGUCUGAGAGGACGACCAGCCACACUGGGACUGAGACACGGCCCAGACUCCUACGGGAGGCAGCAGUGGGGAAUUUUUGGGACAAUGGGCGCAAGCCUGAUCCAGCAAUGCCGCGUGCAGGAUGAAGGCCUUCGGUGUAACUG
RNAcentral lists this ribosomal RNA (401 nucleotides) under uncultured bacterium. Its description in RNAcentral is "bacterial SSU rRNA". It matches the Rfam family "Bacterial small subunit ribosomal RNA", at positions 30 to 432 of the family's 1533-position model. The record is from RNAcentral.